CGACUCCGUGAAGCUGGAUUCGCUAGUAAUCGCGCAUCAGCCAUGGCGCGGUGAAUACGUUCCCGGGCCUUGUACACACCGCCCGUCAAGCCAUGGAAGCCGGGGGCGCUUGAAGUGCGUUGCCGCAAGGCGCGCCCUAGAGCGAAACCGGUGACUGGGGCUAAGUCGUAACAAGGUAAC
This 180-nucleotide ribosomal RNA is filed under the name uncultured bacterium. RNAcentral's name for it is "partial 16S ribosomal RNA". It matches the Rfam family "Bacterial small subunit ribosomal RNA", at positions 1313 to 1500 of the family's 1533-position model. The record is from RNAcentral.